Molecule: long non-coding RNA, 1841 nt
Filed under: Monomorium pharaonis (pharaoh ant)
Lineage: Eukaryota; Metazoa; Arthropoda; Insecta; Hymenoptera; Formicidae
Description: uncharacterized LOC114254982
Source: RNAcentral
AAUCAACAUUCUUUUCACUCGAGGCAAUUAUAAUUAUUUUGGCUCACUUCCGUAUUCGAUCCUCCUGUGAUUUUGAUGAAAUUUUAUAGGCAUGUAGUAUUUACUAAAUAUAGUCGAAUGCCACAAAAGCGAAUGUACGGAAACGGUUUUCAAAAUAUUUAAUUUUUAAUUACACGGUUUUUCAACGCAAAGCGAGGUCUACUCCUUUUUGUUUUAGGAGCGAAAUGACGUAUUGUUUAUAACUUGUUUGUUUUGAUUUUCAAUGCAUGCAGACAAAUGUCAGAAAUAUUGUAACGUUGUCAGUUAGUCAGUUAGUUUUUGACUUCACUGACAGUUAUUUCUCAACAAAGUACGCACCGUACUUUUGCGCACUUCUGCUCAGGGCGUCUUUACCGGCGGGGAUGAGGGAGGGAGGCCCCUCCUUGCACACCUCCCGUACGCGCGCGCGCGCGCGCGUGUGUGUGUGAGUGUGUGUGUGUGUGUGUGUGUGGCCGCAGCGAAAAAGUGUCGGUUAAGUGUACUUCUCAAUCAUGUUUAAUUAAUAUUUUGCUAUAUUAGUGUUUAUUUUUUGUAUGACAUAUAUUAAUGAAAUAAAACAAUUUAGUAAAAUGUGUUUUCAUUUUAGUUUUUUUUACACGAAUAUUUCAAAAAUUGUUUACAAAACCUACAUAUUAAAAGUUAAAUAUUUUAAAAACUAUCUGUUUCCGUACAUUCAUUUUUGUGGCAUUCGACUACAUUUAGUAAAUAUUACAUGACUAUAAAAUUUUAUCAAAAUCGGAGGAAGGUUGGAUACGGAAGUCUUACCCAGGACAUUACUUUUCUUUCUUUAAAAUGUUGCAUUUAGUUAUUUUUUUAUUGUAAAUUAUUACUUACAUCUUAUACAUUCUUAGGUAAUAUCGUAAAAGAAGCAAUUUUGUGUAUAUUUAUCUACUAAUUUAUUCCUCGAAAUACGAAAGCUCUCGGGUCAAUGAAAGGCUUUGGUUCAUUCAAAUGUAUCCCACUUAACGUAUUGUAAUAUCGCAUCUGGUUCAUGGAUUCUUAAAUAUAUUUGGCAAACAUCGGAUAAAGUAUUAACCCUUUGACUAUCAAGAAGUUACGUUCACUGCACACAUGCAGUACGAUACUUGGGAAACUUUAACGGUUUGUAUCUCGGGCAGAAAUUGAUGAAUUUUAUUACAUUUUUUUCAUUCCUAAGGAAAAUUUCUCAGAAUUGUUAUAAUAUAGAUUAGAAAGUCGUAUGUAUAAAGUGAAAAGAAAUAUAUUUGAUAGACUGACAAUAAAUCAAGAAAUUUUGCGCAUGUUUGAAAAUCGGUUUGGGUGUAGCUAACCCAAUGUACAGUCAGAGGGGGUGAAUUCUGUCUAAGGUUUCGCAUUUGCGCCAAAUGUAUCUUACGGAGGCACCUGCAAAUAGACGAAUGCGCAUGUAGGUACAUAGUAUGCUCCUAAUUUAAUCGAAAGUUUCUAGCAGACAUUUAACAAAGAAAUUUCCAAAGAAUUGAUAGAAAAUGAGUCGAGUCCACUAGGAUUUGAUUCAAUUUAAUUGAAAUUCGAACUAUUUACACGCUUCUAGCUCUUACUCAUCUAGAUUGAGAGAGUUGUAUGCUGUAUAUUUCAUUGUGCUCCGAAAGUCACGCACGACUGGUCAACCGAAACGCUUUACGCACAACCCCGAAGAUGAUUUAACAAUCUUUUGUUGCAAUAGCACGACUGACGCGGUAGCUUGCAUAGCGCAACAAAUAAAUAAAAUUUUGAACCCUUUUAUGUGCGUUAAAUACUAUUCAUUUUCUAAAAGUUGAUGUAUGAUGAAUAUAAAUUUUGUGAUAAUAAAUUCGUGAACGAUA